Long non-coding RNA from Marmota monax (woodchuck), 1672 nucleotides. RefSeq lists it as uncharacterized. The record is from RefSeq and is a predicted model, not a curated record. The transcript has 3 exons. Lineage: Eukaryota; Metazoa; Chordata; Mammalia; Rodentia; Sciuridae.
CCAUCCCCAGCCCUAUUUUGUAUUUUAUUUAGAGACAGGGUCUCACUGAGUUGCUUAGCCCCUGCUUUUGCUGAGGCCGUCCUCCUGCCUCAGCCUCCUGAGCUACUGGGAUUACAGGCGUGCAGCUACCAAACCCAGCCUGAGCCCUUCUUCAUCCUCAGGUCAUGACCUCGGAGAAGUUCUCGGCGUCCCCUCGGGCCAGCGUCACGUACUCCUUGGGGCGGUCGGACUUCAUACCCGCGCAGAAGACCUAGGGAGGCCGGAGGAGGCCGUGGGGAGCGGCUCGGGGACACAGGACGGAUGGGUCCCCAAACACGGCUCCCGGACAACACUCACCUUCAGGGGUUUCCCCCUGAUGAUCAGGAAGUACUCGCCGUCGUCUCUGGCACCGAUCAGCGGGACAUAAGUGGCUGGGCUGGUCCUCGUUGGUUAAACACUGCACCGAUCUGCUCAUCACCCCGACGCCGCAAGACACGGAGCACUGCGAGGGAAACCAGGGUCAGCAGGAGGCUGUCAACCCAGGCUGGCAUGGGCUUCUGGCCGGGCGGGGCUCAGAGCCCUGACGUCACGGGCAGGGUGACCAUUCAGACCCCGUAUGGAUGACAAGCAGCCGGCAUGUGCUGAGCACUCACUAUGGACCAGUCUCUGUGCUAAGCCUUAGACAUACACAUUUUAGCUUUCUGCAUAGGUAUGCAACAUACCCAGGAAACACUUUUACACAUGUGUAAAAUUACAUGUGAUUAUAUGCAUACAUACAUUUUUUUUUUUUAAAUUCAGGCUGCACAGUAGUCCUGUGAGAUAGGACUACCAUUGCCCUGUUUUUACAGAUGAGAGAUUGAAGCUGAAAUGUUAGGGAAUUUGUUAAUGUCAUGGUGAGGCCAGGAUUCAAAUGCUAACCACUUACUCUAACCAUCUUAUACUUGUGUGUGUAUGUUGGACACAGGGCAUUGAACCCAGGGAGCUGUACCAUUAAGCUACAGUCCCAGCGCCCUGCCCCUUUUUAAUUUUAAAACUUGCUGAGUUGCUGAGGCUGGCUUUGAACUUGUGAUCCUCCUGCCUCAGCCUCCUGAGCUGCUGGGAUUACAGGCGUGAGCUACUGGGUCUGGCACAAGUCACCACAUACUUGUGCCUAAUCACCUUUCAGGAAUGGGAGUCUCAUAGCCCAGGCAGGCGGCUGCAGCAGUUCUCCAGCAGGGCCAACUCAGUUCAAAGUCCUCUGCCUUGUUGAACCCGUAACACCAUGACAUACUCCCAACACAGGACAACAAGAACCUACAGACUCCCUGAGAACAGAGGCUGCAAGACAUAGCUGCUACCGUCAGUAACUCCUGCCAAGGGCCAGACUCCAAGUGCUUUUCAUGUUGUUUUAUUUUUAAAGUCCUGGGGAUCAAACCCAGAGCCUUGUGCAUGUUAGGCAAGCUCUUCAGCACUGGGAGACUCCCCCAGCCCUCCUUUGAAAGGAAAGGGUAGUAAGUGGGGCACGGUGGCACACCUGUCACCCCAGCAGCUAAGGAGGCUGAGGCAGGAGGAUCCUGAGUUCAAAGCCAGCCUCAGCAGCUUAAUGAGGCCCUAAGCAACUCAGUGAGACCCUGUCUCUAAAUAAAGUACAAAAUAGGGCUGGGGAUGUGGCUCAGUGGUUAAGUGCCCCUGGGUUCAAUCCCUGGUACCAAAA